AACAAACAUAAUAUAGAAGGGCAGAACGUGA
RNAcentral lists this non-coding RNA (31 nucleotides) under Trypanosoma brucei brucei. Lineage: Eukaryota; Euglenozoa; Kinetoplastea; Trypanosomatida; Trypanosomatidae. The record is from RNAcentral.